GUCUAAUACUGGAUGCUACACGUCACCGCAUGGUGGUGUGUGGAAAGGGUUUACUGGUCUUGGAUGGGCUCACGGCCUAUCAGCUUGUUGGUGAGGUAAUGGCUCACCAAGGCGACGACGGGUAGCCGGCCUGAGAGGGUGACCGGCCACACUGGGACUGAGACACGGCCCAGACUCCUACGGGAGGCAGCAGUGGGGAAUAUUGCACAAUGGGCGAAAGCCUGAUGCAGCGACGCCGCGUGAGGGAUGACGGCCUUCGGGUUGUAAACCUCUUUCAGCAGGGAAGAAGCCACAAGUGACGGUACCUGCAGAAGAAGCGCCGGCUAACUACGUGCCAGCAGCCGCGGUAAUACGUAGGGCGCAAGCGUUGUCCGGAAUUAUUGGGCGUAAAGAGCUCGUAGGCGGUUUGUCGCGUCUGCUGUGAAAGCCCGGGGCUUAACCCCGGGUGUGCAGUGGGUACGGGCAGACUAGAGUGCAGUAGGGGAGACUGGAAUUCCUGGUGUAGCGGUGGAAUGCGCAGAUAUCAGGAGGAACACCGAUGGCGAAGGCAGGUCUCUGGGCUGUUACUGACGCUGAGGAGCGAAAGCAUGGGGAGCGAACAGGAUUAGAUACCCUGGUAGUCCAUGCCGU
Molecule: ribosomal RNA, 630 nt
Filed under: Kocuria palustris
Lineage: Bacteria; Bacillati; Actinomycetota; Actinomycetes; Micrococcales; Micrococcaceae
Description: bacterial SSU rRNA
Rfam family: Bacterial small subunit ribosomal RNA
Source: RNAcentral